CGGAGUAAUUACAUAAGCAACGUGCCCCGACGACCGGGAUAGCCCCUCGAAAGAGGGAUUAAUACCGGAUGUGGCCCUUGGAGGACAUCCUACGAGGAUUAAAACGAGUAAUCGGCAUCGGGAGCGGCUUGUGGCCUAUCAGCUUGUUGGUGAGGUAAUGGCUCACCAAGGCUACGACGGGUAGCUGGUCUGAGAGGACGACCAGCCCGACUGGGACUGAGACACGGCCCAG
Molecule: ribosomal RNA, 232 nt
Filed under: uncultured bacterium
Lineage: Bacteria
Description: partial 16S ribosomal RNA
Rfam family: Bacterial small subunit ribosomal RNA
Source: RNAcentral